RNAcentral lists this ribosomal RNA (492 nucleotides) under Triticum aestivum (bread wheat). RNAcentral describes it as "partial small subunit ribosomal RNA". The record is from RNAcentral. Lineage: Eukaryota; Viridiplantae; Streptophyta; Magnoliopsida; Poales; Poaceae.
AUGGGGUUCAGAGAUCUACACCGUUUUAACUUGGCACUCUUGGCCAAACAAUGCUGGAGACUAAUAGCUGAACCGGAAUCACUAUGUGCUAGAAUACUCAAAGCUAAGUACUUUCCAGAUGGGGACAUCCUAAAUUGCAGCCUCAAAAAAGGGAGUUCAUACACUUGGCAGAGUUUAUGGAGUGGUAUCCAAACUUUCAAAAAAGGGUACAUUUGGAGGGUGGGAGACGGCACCCAAAUCAGCAUAUGGGAUGACCCAUGGGUUCCUAGCAGCCCAAACAGAAGAGUUAUGACAAGGAGAGGUAAUAUAAUCAUCACCAAAGUUUCUGAGCUAAUUAACUUGGAGAGUAGAGAAUGGGACGAACAACUAAUCAGAGAUAUAUUCUGGCCCGUUGAUGCUCAAAGAAUUCUGAACAUACCCCUUGCCUUGGGUAUGAUGGAGGAUUUCGUUUCAUGGAAUUAUAACCGGACAGGGAUAUUCACGGUUAAGACC